AGGAGGCAGCAGAGCGAACCAUGAAGAGGAGGGAGCGGAGAGAGUGGGAGGCCCGGAGAAGGGACAUCCUCUUUGACUAUGAGCAGUAUGAAUACCAUGGGACAUCGUCAGCCAUGGUGAUGUUCGACCUGGCGUGGAUGAUGUCCAAGGACCUGAAUGACAUGCUGUGGUAUGUAGGCCCCAGUCAGGGUCAUUGCCAUGCAGGGCUUCCUUCUCUGAGUAGCCCUGUCCUCCCACCGUGAGGCAGGUUCUGGAGGAAGAUGUCCCCACAUGUACAUCCCUUGUUCCC
Non-coding RNA from Manis javanica (Malayan pangolin), 289 nucleotides. The record is from RefSeq and is a predicted model, not a curated record. NCBI's taxonomy places the organism in Eukaryota, Metazoa, Chordata, Mammalia, Pholidota, Manidae.